CGAAAGCCACGUUAACGUCUUCGGUGGCAUCCUGCAGCAGCGGAAGUGAUUCCAGUGUAAGUAGGUAUAUGAUUCCUCCAUCUAGAAUCAUGCAUGGCCUAGAAUUACUCCAGUUAUUUAUUAUUAUUAUUAUUUAUUUAUUUAUUGUUUACAAAAAUUACAAUAUUUCUUACAUUAGUCUCGCAAAACCUAUUCACCUAGGUUUGUCUGCGAGUACGGAGUCACACUCGUUCAUUAAAUCUUAUUUUAUAAUACACUUAAAAUUGCUCUAAUAGCUAUUUGAACAUUGAUUAUUGUUUAAAAAGUAUUGAGUAUAUUAACAUAAAUUACAUUGAGUUAAGGUACAUCUUUUUAAGUUUACGACUGAAUUUUGUCCUGUUACUUGAAUUGAAAACUUCAAUAGGGGAUGUUUUGUAAAUCUAGUAGUAGUCUAGGAAUAUUUUUGUUUUUUGUUUUUGGAUAACUUGAUUAUUUAUGGUACCUGUCAUACAAAGAAAACAUAAUUUUUCAUUUAGCUCAAAAAUGGCGCCAACGAUUUUUCUCAAAUUUCUCGUCAUUUUAUCUUUUAAUAACAUCUAUAACAUGGCUUACUCAGUCAGUUUUUACCGGGAAACUCUAAAAAAGGUAGCUGCCAUACAAAAUCAAUUUUGUUUGUAAAUUUUCCUAUAAGCCCGGCAAACCGCGCCGUCACCAAAACCACUUUUGUUUUGUGAUAGAUAAAAUACUUAUUUGAAAUUCAAACGUGUCCUCCGGCCAAUAUUCAUGGGAAUACAUAACUUAUUUUACAGGUACAAGAAGAAGACGUACCUGCCGUCGCAGUUGGAAGUAGUUCUGGUCCCACCUUAGAGCAGGGUCAAGACGAAGUCGACUCAUCAAAAGUACCUCAAGCAUCUUGUCAUAAGCCUGCAUAAAAAGUGAAUGUUGCCAAAGAAGACAUAAUUGAAAUCGUGCCUUCUGCUCCUGCCGAAAUCAAAGAUGUGAAUCUCGACGAUCUAGGUUGCUGGCUUUCUCCUAUGACCGACGAAGUAAGAACGCUUCUAGUACGUCGCGGAUCUGACUCAGUGCAGCACAUCGAUUCCAAAUUGGCCGAUGUUGUUCGCUCAGGGACUUCAACGAAAGGCGGUACCCGAAAACUAACCAAAGAGUGAUUCUACAAACCAUUAUCUAACGGCGAAAAUGUUCUCCGAACAUGAAUGGUGUACUCGCCUUUGAAGCAAUCCUUGUAUUGUUUUUCUUGCAAGCUGUUUGGCAUUUCCGGCUCUAACUUCGCAUCUGAAGAAGGAUUCAACAAAUGGUGGAAGCUAAAUCCAAUAAUAGGAGACCAUGAAAAUAGCCUGGGCCAUGAACAGAGCUUCUUGAAAUGGAAGGAGUUGGAAGUUCGCCUGAACUGUAAAGCAACCAUCGAUCAGAAACAACAAGAAGUUUUCGAAAGUGAGGAGAAAAAGUGGAGGGAUGUACUGUACAGGUUGCUGAAUAUUAUCCAGUUCUUAGCCAAACAGAAUCUGGCCUUCAGAGGACAUCGAGAAGACAUUCGAGGAGAUGAUAGAGGCAAUCGCGGGAACUUUCUGGAGUUAGUGAACCUCCUAGAUAAAUACGACCCUCUUCUAAUGGAACACCUGACAAAGAUAAAGCUGGGAGCAAGAGUCUCAGUUUCGUAUCUAUCUCCAGAAACCCAGAAUGAAUUUAUAAACUUACUGGGACAGCAAGUUCGAUCCACCAUCAUCCGUCGUAUUCAAGAAGCUAAAUAUUAUUGCGUAAUCUUCGACAGUACACCAGACAUCUCCCACAAUGACCAAAUGAGCCAAGUUCUGCGAUACGUACGUAUCGAAGGAGAAAAAGUCACCAUGGUAGAAUCUUUCAUUGACUUCUUCGAACCAAAUGGAAAAAAAUGCAGAAGAUCUCAGUAACGAUGUAAUCGCGAAGAUAACAUCAGACGGACUGGACAUACAGAAUCUGAGAGGACAGGCUUAUGACAAUGCUGCCACAAUGUCAGGGAUCCACAAUGGAGUUCAAGCCCGGAUUAAAGCACUGAAUCCGAAAGCUAUAUUCGUUGCAUGCACAAACCACUCACUAAACUUGGCUGGGGUACACGCUGCUUCUGAAUCAGUGGAUUCCGUGACGUUUUUUGGAACUCUGGAGAAGCUUUUUGCCUUAUUUUCCGCAUCAACUGUUCGAUGGAACGCUUUGGUUGCCGUCACAGGUCAAGCAGUAAAACGAGUCACUGAAACGCGCUGGAGCACUAGACAUAUAGCUGUCAAGAUGCUUAAAAAUAAGUUUGAGGUAGUUCUUGAGGUACUGGAACAAUUAACAGAUUCAUCUCAAACUUUCGAAACAAGAUCGGGAGCCAGUCUUCUCCUGACAGCCAUGCAGUCAUUUAACUUCUUAACUUUUCUUGGCUUUUGGGCUGCAGUGCUACCUGAAGUAUAUUGAUUUAUCUGCAGCAACGAGGACUUAGUGUGGAUAAGUGUGCUCAGAAACUCUGCGCUUUGAAAACCCUCUUAGUGGAAAGUAGAGACCGUUUCGUGCAAGAAGCAAUUGACUUUGCUAUGACUCUCUGCGAAAAACUCGGAAUCAAACUCAAAACGAGAAGAAUUCGCAGGGAAAAAACGCAUGCAUGGCAAAGAAUCUUCUGAAGAUGCAGCUUUGUCUCACGAACAGGAAAUCCGUCGAGAGAUUAUCGCAAUAUUCGACAAGAUCAUUCAAGAAAUGACGACUCGAUUCCAGCAAAUUCAAGAAAUAUCGGACAAGUUAGGAUUUUUGAUGCCAGCGAAACUUUUGGACAGCAAGUUCGAGUGUGAUCUUUCCCAUGUAUUAGAAGACAUCGACAAGGACGAGUUUGAGAUGGAGCGGAAGCGUCUUCAGCAGUUUGUUGUUGUUGCUUGUUCUGAAUCAGAGGAAGAUAUAAGUGGUAAAGGACCACUGGAGCUCCUCCAGUUCAUUCAAAAACUGAAUCUCGGAAUUUCGGUUCCAAAUAUAGUCAUCUUGAUUCGUAUAUAUUUGACUUUGGCGAUUUGUGUUGCAAGUUGUGAGAGACGUUUUUCGAAGUUGAAGCUAAUAAAAAAUUACUUCAGAUCUACUAUGAGCUCCGCUAGACUAUCAAAUUUGGCUAUAUUGUCGAUUGAACAAGAAUUGGCUGCUAAUAUUGAUUUUGACAAAGUUAUUUCUGACUUCGCUGCUCAUAAGGCCCGUAGAAUCCGCUUGUAAAACCGCUCAUCCUAUUUUAACUUCAAUAAAAGGUACCUCAUUGCUAGAGACCUGAAAAAUUCGCGGGUUCAAUGACCUCCAGGAUGAACUCCAUAGUUCUGCGUACACUCGGUCAAAUGUCACCCACGCAUUGGCUGCUGUCUUGUGAGACGUCCUAACGUAGCAGCCUGUGAUUCGAUAAAGGUUUGAUUGGGUGUUUCUCAUUGGCCCAGCGUCAUCCAGGUGAGUUGUGAGCCAAUAGCAGAGGCAGCACUGAGGUAUAACUAUUUGUAUUUUAGCCUAUCGCGAAAUGAAUUCGCGAAUUUUUCCGGUCUCUACUCAUUGCAUGUGAAAUUUAAUUUUAAUUAAGCACCUAUAGAAUGGGGGCGGGAAAAUGGGUCUCCCGCCCCAGGCGCCGAGAUGGCACGCUACGCCACUGGUUCUGAGGCCGCUUCUUCACUCGCAGCGCUGUUUCGUCGAGUAGCCUACACCUGGGUGUCGUUCAUCACAACUGCCUGCGUCGCUGUUUGUCGCGCCGUGCCGUGUUUAUUAACACACACGCACACAUACAGUGAUGUUUCUUUUUGUAAACACUGAGAAAAAGGAUUGGUUCAAUGAACAAAAUAUAUUUGUUUGCAUGAUGGUUGUUUCGUUCAAACAAUAUUUAUUUGAUCCUACCAAUCGUUUAUUUGACCGUACUAAACGUAAAAUGUUCCAAACAAACUACACAUGUUCUCUAAACCAAAUUAUUUGUUUAAAAAUUAUUUGUUGCACCAAGCAGUUAUUUGUUUGGUCCAACACUUCAAACAGAUAUUUGGUUCAGUCAAACAAAUCAGUAUUAUUUUUCUAAACAAACAGCAUGUUUGCUUAAAUUAUAACAUUUUAAACGAAUAUUUUGUAGCGCCAACAAAAUAUUUUGUUAGCGCAACUAAACCAUUUGGUUGGCGACACUACUUUCCGGUUUUUAUUUUGUUGGCUAUGCCGUUUUAUUGUUAUUGAAGCAACUCCGUGAUGGUGCUGGAAAUUGAAUAUUGUGGGCAUCAGGUUAUUUAUUUCCUCGUUUCCGUUUGUAUGUGAGCAAGUGCUGAUCUAAAAAAUGGUUGAUGAGUAAACCAAGAUAAUUGUGGAAGAUUGGGGUGUUUGCAGUUAAUUGGACUUGUUGCAGGGCAAUCUCUGCACAGAGGAAGAAAGUUUAGUUUUUUUUGUGGAUGCAGAGAUUUUCCUUAAAAAAUCAAAUAUCAUCACUGCUUUUUUCUGUAAUUUUUUCCUGCUGCACCAUAUUCAAUGCCUCAGUAACUGGCAGUCACACAGAAAUUCAUCCAGAAGCGCAUGUUGAAAAUGAACCUACAUUAUGUCAUUAAGUUUUAUUUUUAUAAAUGGAUCUUAAUUCAUAAAUAUUGAAUUUAGUUAAUAAAUUUAAAAAAAUAACUGGAUUAUUUAUUUAAUUUUAAUAGUUAAUUUAUGUAAUUAAAUUGACAACAUGCCCUCCAAACGCCAUGGGCUUUAAAAGGUCAUUGCAUGUGUGUGUAUACCCAACCCUCGUCGGUACCGAGAGCAGCCAAACAACUACCUGGGGUAGGAACCCCAGCAGGUAGGCAUCAUCACAAGGCCUACAUAUAAAAGGUAAAUAGCCACAUAGCAGCAGCAUCUGGAUCAUGGCAAAACAGUUGUACAUAUUUAAGAUAAAUUCUAAUUGCAUCAAUAAUACCAAUUACAGAGUUGACGUAGCUUGGAUAACAUAAGAAAAUAUUUUAUUAUACCUUUUAUCGAUAACGAACAUUUAUUGCCAAGUUGAAAACUAAAUUUUUACUCACUUUUAUUAGCUUCACUUGUAGCUACGCAUUGGCGUGUAUUCAAUAGACGCUAGGUAAGCAGUGCUUACCCUGUUAUGUUGCUUGGCAUAAUGUAAUAUUUUUUGCUAUGUGGUAAUCUCAUCUCGUGUGCUAAUGUAACAAUAUCAGUGCGCGUUAUGGAUUGAAUUGAAACAUCCUGCGUCCCUGCGAAGCGAUGCGAUCACCGUAGCGGGCGCGUCAGAUAGCGUGCCACCCAGUUUUCAUGGUAACGUGUAAACUGGAGGGGAAGGGUUCAUGUAUCUUCGUGAGACUACUUUGGUAAAUAUCGCGCAAGGUGCGCUGUUCUCACAGCAACUGGCCCUAGCGCGCGUCGGCAGGCAGUUGCAUUGUGUCGUUCAACAAACAAUCAAACAUAAUACAAAUAUUAUUCGUACAACGUACAAUACAAGUUGUCAUUCCACAACACGUAUUUAAAAUAAACACACUGUCCGUUUUAUGACCAUUUUAUUCUGUUUUGUGUUUUCGUUUGAAGUGCUAACCAGUGUAAACUUCAUCUGCGACUGCUGUCUAUGUACCAACAAGGUAAGCUGUGAGUUCGGCAGCGUAUGCUGUCCAGGAGGAAGCAGGACUCUCAACCUGGCCACUGCGUUGUUUGCAAUGUUCUGAGUUCUGAUUUUAAUUCGUUUUCGAAACUGUUUAACUUUUGUCUUUACUAUAUAAAUUUAAAAUGGUGUAAAAAAUGAUCUCGACUGAUGUAAAAAAUCUCGUCAAGUUAAUUUUUGUGUACGCUUUAGUAAAAAUUUGAAAAAAUAGAAAAUGUUUCCUUAACGUUGUCUUUAUUUUCUAAUUUUAAAGUCGUUUAUAUAAAGUUUUUCCUUGACAUAUGUGAAAAAAACUCGUUAGGUUUACCCCGCAUAUACAUUCCAGCGUUUCUCAAUUUCCAUCUCAUUCCCCUAAUCGGCUUUUAGGACUUGAAACUGAAGCGCCGGAGCUCUGCCUAAGGAUAAGGCGGGCCUGCGUAUUAUAUUUUUGUGAGAGUAUUUGUAUGUUUUGUUACAUAAUAUACAACCCUAUAUUCAUAUUUCAGUAUAACUUUAAUAGUUUCUGUCUCAGAAAAGUUAAUAAUUUUGCUCCUGGUUGUAGCAGCUGGAGUUAUUUGACAGGUACAAAAAUUUAUACUUAGAAUAAAGUGCAUCUUAUACUUCUACCAGGAAAACUGCAAAAAUAGCCCCAUUUUGCACCUAGAAAUUCAAAUUAUUUUAAGGUUGAGAAUGGGUGAGACAGCUUACCCACACAAUUAUUCCACCACAUGCCAUUGUAACUACGUAAUAAAAUCUUGCAAGUCAAUAUAACGUAAUUCUAAUUCUCAUGUUGAACUAAAAUUUUGAAUUUAUACUCAGAUGAUAAUACAGUAAUUUUAUGACUGACCAGGAAAAAGGGAAGGACAAAGGGGGCAUAAGAGCAAAUAAACCCUACUUUUUUGCUAUAGGCAAUAACCAUUUUUAUUGUAUAUUCAUGAGUCCGGCUAUGGUGGGAAAUAUGCCAAAAGUCGACUGGCCCCACAACUGUGGGGAGAGGGGUUCAAAACCACAAAAUUUUGAAAAAUUUAAAAAAAAUUAUUCUUUUUUAAUUUGGAGUGUUUCCGAGCCAUUUGGGGUCUUAUCCACCCCCCCUCCCAUCCCAACCCCAUUUUCAUGGCUUAUGGGAAAGGUUAUAUGCCUACGGUUUUUUGAAAGUAGGGAAUAAUUAAAGUAGGCCUAAGUUAAUUUUGAUGUACAUCAAAAGCCUUCGAACACCAUGUUAUCUUGGGCAUUUGCCUUGGUAGGUGUUAAAACCCAAAAAUUUUGAAAAACCAUCAGCUGGAUCUUAUGUGUUACGUGUGAAUUGACAAUAUGUAAUUUUGAUAACUUAAGACCUUACUGGUAAGAGGAAGAGUGAAGUGGGCAGAGGGUCAAAAACCACUAAUUUUGAGCUCAGGGUAAUAACUGUGCUUUGAAUAAAAAAGACUAGAUUAUGUGAACAUUAAUGACUAAUUUAAAGUAUGUACAUUGUAGUAAUUACGGAAAUAACUACAUGAACUUAAUAACAAUAUGUACUUGAAGUUAAUUGGUAUCUUGAUAUGUCUUAAAUUUUCAAUCACAACUUUUAGGAUACAGUCAUUUUGAUAAUGUUAUGCUGUAGUCAUCAUUAUGAACAUUAAACAACAGUGCAUCCCACGUUUUCAGUUAUACAGAGUUUGGUGUAUUAGAUAAUUAAUGGGCAAAAUACGUAAAUUUUUAUUUCAAAGAACGAUAAAAGAUUUUUUUUUAUGUAUAAUUUUGAUUUUUUUGUUAAUGCCCACUGCUGAAGCUGUUGUUGGGCAUGUGACCAUUAAUUAAUAAAGUCUAGUAGGAACAAUUGAGUUGCAUAAACAAAACAUUUGGUAAUGAUAUAAGCAAUAUGGUUGGAAUAAUCAAACAUUUGUUUGAACCAACAAAAUAUUUGGUAAUGAUAAGCCAUUUGGUUGAACCAAACAAACAUUUGGUUGAACCAACAAAAUAUUUGGUAAUGAUAUAAGCAAUAUGGUUGGAAUAAUCAAACAUUUGUUUGAACCAACAAAAUAUUUGGUAAUGGUAACAAGCCAUUUGGUUGUACCAAACAAACAUUUGGUUGAACCAACAAAA
Molecule: long non-coding RNA, 7639 nt
Organism: Bacillus rossius redtenbacheri
Lineage: Eukaryota; Metazoa; Arthropoda; Insecta; Phasmatodea; Bacillidae
Exons: 3
Source: RefSeq, a predicted model, not a curated record